CAGGUUUCGGUGUCCGUGGUGAAAACCAGAUCCAAAUAUUUAUUGUUUUGAUUCGGUGUAUCACACACUUGCAUUAAUCCAGACAACGAAAAACCAUCAACAAUGGCUACUUCACUCUGCGAAACGAUUCGCUCAGGUUGAAAUCACCUGACACGAGCACCAUGUCACCCGGCUGAAUUAUGUCGAUGACGGAGUCAACAAACGCGACGAACGAGUGGUAGCGAGCUAAAUUCGAGCUCGAGCAAACUCUGUGCUGACGAUACGACGAUGAACCGCAAUAAGCGCCCCGCCGCCGGACAGUUUAUCGCUGUUAAGUGUGUCUCUGUCGCAGCGGUAGACCGAAAAACACGAAGGGAACAGUACACUAUCUUGUAUAGAGGAUUCCAAGGUUUCCCACGUUUAACGGAUUAACAGAAUGAGACUCAAUUCCAUCGCUAAUAGCGGAUAGGAUUCCUCACACAAAACGUCACUGCUGCAUCGCAACCGUUGGCUGGAAGGGAGCAGCGAGCGGAGUGGAGAAACAGUCUCGCUGCUGAGAGGGACUAUCACGCUGUCGCUCGUCACGAAAAAUUGUAUUGCCCCGCUCGACACCCACAAACUCACGGAAAUAAAUUCCCUUUUGCCAGCUUGAUGGCAGCAUUGCUUUUUCCUUCCACUUCAUUGCCAUUCCGAUUUUGAAAGAUAUGAAAGAGAGUUGAUUGAGAUCAAAUCCUCUUCGGACCAACUUUAUUACGUCAACCGGUUCAUUCAUUUCCAGAUUACGUUGUACCAGACUCGAGAUUUCCUCCACAGUGGCGUGUGGAGAAAAUCUUGACAAAAACAACCAAAAUUUAGACUCCCGUGCAGCGGUGUGCACGAUUGGAACAGACAAAGCAGGAUCUGGCUCUUUGCUACCACAAAGCGUACGAGUGGCAUCCUCUUCGACCUGUGGCGGGUCGAUUUGGAUGCGGGGACGCUUUGUUGAUCUUGGUUGAACUGUCGGCCAAGGCGAGCGAUUUGAAAGACUUUGCUGCUGUUGUUUUCCUACGAUUUCAUCUAUUUUGUCUGUAUUCUUUUCUUUCUUUUCAGAACCAUCAACAUAUUCAUAAAGAGUAAACAGUAAACUAAUCCAUUUUUCAGGUAGAUAGGUAGGUAUUCACGUAGGAGAAGAAAAUAAAACAAU
Molecule: long non-coding RNA, 1162 nt
Organism: Toxorhynchites rutilus septentrionalis
Lineage: Eukaryota; Metazoa; Arthropoda; Insecta; Diptera; Culicidae
Exons: 5
Source: RefSeq, a predicted model, not a curated record